This 592-nucleotide small RNA is filed under the name Pan troglodytes (chimpanzee). RNAcentral's name for it is "retained intron". Lineage: Eukaryota; Metazoa; Chordata; Mammalia; Primates; Hominidae. The record is from RNAcentral.
UCCUUUGGACCUCAUGCCGGAAAAUUGGUCGCGAUUGUAGAUGUUAUUGAUCAGAACAGGGCUUUGGUCGAUGGACCUUGCACUCAAGUGAGGAGACAGGCCAUGCCUUUCAAGUGCAUGCAGCUCACUGAUUUCAUCCUCAAGUUUCCGCACAGUGCCCGCCAGAAGUAUGUCCGACAAGCCUGGCAGAAGGCAGACAUCAAUACAAAAUGGGCAGCCACACGAUGGGCCAAGAAGAUUGAAGCCAGAGAAAGGGUAAUAACUUAGGGUCAUUUGAAUUCUGGUCCUUUCUUUUUUUGGAGGGUUCAAGAUAGUGUGAGAGGGAUAAUUUUUAUUUAUUUAUUUAUUUUUAACAGAAAGCCAAGAUGACAGAUUUUGAUCGUUUUAAAGUUAUGAAGGCAAAGAAAAUGAGGAACAGAAUAAUCAAGAAUGAAGUUAAGAAGCUUCAAAAGGCAGCUCUCCUGAAAGCUUCUCCCAAAAAAGCACCUGGUACUAAGGGUACUGCUGCUGCUGCUGCUGCUAAAGUUCCAGCAAAAAAGAUCACCGCCACGAGUAAAAAGGCUCCAGCCCAGAAGGUUCCUGCCCAGAAAGC